This 31-nucleotide non-coding RNA is filed under the name Mus musculus (house mouse). Lineage: Eukaryota; Metazoa; Chordata; Mammalia; Rodentia; Muridae. The record is from RNAcentral.
UAAAAGCAGACGACAAUAACUGAUCCUCCCC